AUACGGAGGGUGCAAGCGUUACUCGGAAUCACUGGGCGUAAAGCGCGCGCAGGCGGCUUGAUAAGUUGGAUGUGAAAGCCUACGGCUCAACCGUAGAACUGCAUCCAAAACUGUCAAGCUAGAGUGUGGGAGAGGAAGAUGGAAUUAGUUGUGUAGGGGUAAAAUCCGUAGAGAUAACUAGGAAUACCAAAAGCGAAGGCAAUCUUCUGGAACACUACUGACGCUGAGGCGCGAAAGCGUGGGGAGCAAACGGGAUUAGAAACCCUUGUAGUCC
Molecule: ribosomal RNA, 274 nt
Filed under: uncultured bacterium
Lineage: Bacteria
Description: partial 16S ribosomal RNA
Rfam family: Bacterial small subunit ribosomal RNA
Source: RNAcentral